CCAGUUGCCCAGGAGUCACAGCCUCACAGGCACAGGAAGAACAACCUGAGGUGAGAAAUGGCAGGGUUCUUCGGCACCUGUGCUGCUUCUGAUCACUAUUGUUUGCAGCUCAGAUCUGGAUCAGCUCACCAUGAACUGAUUAGACCAAACAAGUACAGAAGGACCAUGAUCAGGUGCUGCAGCACAGCGAAGGGGAAGACAAGAAGGGACUACUUCCAGGUUCUUGGAGUAGCAACUCAUUCCACACCUCAGGAGAUCAAGGAAGCUUACAGGAAACUCCAGAAGCAACACCAUCCUGAUAUUGCUGGCGACAAGGGCCAUGACCACGCGCUAUUGCUGAAUGAGGCGUAUGAGGUGUUGAUGAGGAGUUCAUCCAGGAAAGCUGAUGGAUUUGGCAAGAGCAGAGGCGGCUUUGGGAGCGGUUACACCGGGGACGGAUACAGUUCUUGGAAUGGGCCUAUCAGGAGCCAGGCUCUCUUCGUGGAUGAGAACAAAUGCAUAGGAUGUAGGGAGUGUGUUCACCAUGCUGGGGAGACGUUUGCCAUGGACGAUGUUCUUGGAAGUGCGCACGUCGAAGUCCAGUUUGGCGACGUGGAGCAGCAGAUCCAGGUGGCUGUGGAGUCUUGCCCUGUGAACUGCAUCCACUGGGUUGGGAGUGAAGAGCUCCCGGUGCUGGAGUUCAUGGCGCGGCCACAGCGCAAGGAAGGGCACGGCGUAUUCGGCGGCGGGUGGGAGAGGCCCAAGGACGUGUUCGCGGCGGCCAGGAACUUCGCCAAGAAACUCGAGAGGCAGGAGCAGCAGGAAAGUUCCAGGGGCGCAAACGGGGGUGAAGAUGUGGAGGCUGAAACGGCAGCGCAGGCCGAAGCGAGACGCCACGCGGGGCAGGAGCUACGGUGGAAGAGUUUGUUCGAUGUUUGGAAUGGGUUGGGAGACUGGAGGAAAUCCGGAACAGACAGGUAGAUGUGCAAUGGCUAGUCGCUGGUUCGUGAUGGUGUGAAGACUGCAACCACACACUGAUGUUGUACGACGUGCUGUAAUACCUGGGAUAUAGGAGUACAAUGUUUGGAUCAUGAGGUUUCCCCAACCAAAUAUGACGUCCUAUGUCAGGGUGGACACGGUCCGGUCCGGUCCCUGACCGAGCCUUCGUUUGGACCGGCCGCUGGCGGUCCGGACCGAGCAGGGGAGCGGUCCUGUUUCCGGGGACCGGACCGGCGGCGUCAAAGCCCGGGCCAGACCGAGUGGACCGAAUGGACCGGCUAGCACGACCAGCGUCCAUGUGUGCGGUUGCUGCGGCGAGGUGGCGUACGUGCGCUACUGCUGCGAUGAAGUGGACGACGUGCGCGAGCGCUGACCUGCGCGAGAAUUGACUGACAACUGAAAGUUUGACGAAACUGACGAAGUGGAUUUUCUGAAUCUGACUGUUGGAAUACCCCUACAAGACCGGCACUUCUGAAUCUGACUGUUGGAAUACCCCUACAAGACCGGCUGCACCAACGUGAGAUUGUCUCACGUAGCUCUCUCUCUCCGUAACAACUAGUCCUCGUCUCUAGUGCAUGAACUGCAUGAUCUCAUGAGCUUAUCUAGAUGAGUUAGUUACGGAGGUUGUGUUGGCGCAGUGGCCGCACCUGCCGACCUACGUGCUCCUUUUCUCUGUAUAUCUGUAACACUCGACAGAUGAAUGAACAUAAGAGCUGUUUCUCUCC
Molecule: RNA transcript, 1703 nt
Organism: Aegilops tauschii subsp. strangulata
Lineage: Eukaryota; Viridiplantae; Streptophyta; Magnoliopsida; Poales; Poaceae
Gene name: chaperone protein dnaJ C76, chloroplastic
Source: RefSeq, a predicted model, not a curated record